GCAGCCGCGGUAAUACGUAGGGGGCAAGCGUUAUCCGGAUUUACUGGGUGUAAAGGGAGCGCAGACGGCAGUGCAAGUCUGAUGUGAAAGCCCGGGGCUCAACCCCGGAACUGCAUUGGAAACUGUACAGCUUGAGUGUCGGAGAGGUAAGCGGAAUUCCUAGUGUAGCGGUGAAAUGCGUAGAUAUUAGGAGGAACACCGGUGGCGAAGGCGGCUUACUGGACGAUUACUGACGUUGAGGCUCGAAAGCGUGGGGAGCAAACAGGAUUAGAUACCCC
Molecule: ribosomal RNA, 278 nt
Filed under: uncultured Lachnospiraceae bacterium
Lineage: Bacteria; Bacillati; Bacillota; Clostridia; Lachnospirales; Lachnospiraceae
Description: partial 16S ribosomal RNA
Rfam family: Bacterial small subunit ribosomal RNA
Source: RNAcentral